RNAcentral lists this ribosomal RNA (301 nucleotides) under uncultured bacterium. RNAcentral describes it as "partial 16S ribosomal RNA". It matches the Rfam family "Bacterial small subunit ribosomal RNA", at positions 509 to 807 of the family's 1533-position model. The record is from RNAcentral.
CAGCCGCCACGGUAAUACAGAGGGUGCGAGCGUUAAUCGGAUUUACUGGGCGUAAAGCGUGCGUAGGCGGCUUCUUAAGUCGGAUGUGAAAUCCCUGAGCUUAACUUAGGAAUUGCAUUCGAUACUGGGAAGCUAGAGUAUGGGAGAGGAUGGUAGAAUUCCAGGUGUAGCGGUGAAAUGCGUAGAGAUCUGGAUGAAUACCGAUGGCGAAGGCAGCCAUCUGGCCUAAUACUGACGCUGAGGUACGAAAGCAUGGGGAGCAAACAGGAUUAGAUACCCGUGUAGUCCCUGUCUCUUAUAC